RNAcentral lists this microRNA precursor (79 nucleotides) under Procavia capensis (Cape rock hyrax). Its description in RNAcentral is "microRNA 484 (ENSPCAG00000019641.1)". The stretch from base 5 to 71 matches the Rfam family "mir-484 microRNA precursor family". Lineage: Eukaryota; Metazoa; Chordata; Mammalia; Hyracoidea; Procaviidae. The record is from RNAcentral.
AGCCUCGUCAGGCUCAGUCCCCUCCCGAUAAAACCCUAAAUAGGGAACUUCCCGGGGGGCGAUCCUGGGUUUUUUGGCG